CCUGAGAAACCCAAAAGAUCGAAUGGGGAGAUUCAUCGUCAGCGUGGCUGGUUUCCGUGCGGUUCGCGAUGGCCGGGACUUCGGUCUCGCGUCACGCGUCCGCUGCGGUAUGUCCGGCUGCGUCGGCGUGCACUUCUCCCCUAGUAGGACGUCGCGACCCGUUGGGUGUCGGACCGAUGGCCGUUUGGUCGCCUGUUACGUCGCGUUCACGCGUGCACGUGGCAGACCGAAAUGGCCGAGCGUCCGGCUGCCGGGCGGUAUAGAACGCUAUUGAACGGUAAUGAGCCGCAUUAAUGCGUUCAGGCUCGUCGGCAGGCUCGUCUCGCCCGGAUUUACGGACCUAGCGCCGUUGCCGGCUGCUUGGCGUGGCUGUUAGUCGGCGAUGUCCUCGGACUGGCUCUAAAAUUCGAAAGGAUUACCGGUCGGCGACGCUACUGCUUUGGGUACUUUC
Molecule: ribosomal RNA, 451 nt
Filed under: Chrysocharis nephereus
Lineage: Eukaryota; Metazoa; Arthropoda; Insecta; Hymenoptera; Eulophidae
Description: eukaryotic LSU rRNA
Source: RNAcentral